RNAcentral lists this ribosomal RNA (471 nucleotides) under uncultured bacterium. RNAcentral's name for it is "SSU rRNA". It matches the Rfam family "Bacterial small subunit ribosomal RNA", at positions 26 to 518 of the family's 1533-position model. The record is from RNAcentral.
AGGAUAAACGCUGGCGGCGUGCCUAACACAUGCAAGUCGAACGCGCUUUCGGGCUUCGGUGCGAGAGCGAGUGGCGGACGGGUGAGUAACACAUGGGUACCUACCUUGGAGUGAGGGAUACCGGCGAGAAAUCGCCGACAAUACCGCAUAGGCUUCUUCACAAGGGAAGCAAAGUGACGCGAGUCACGCUGUGAGAUGGGCCUGUGGCCGAUUAGCUAGUUGGGGGGUAACGGCUUCCCAAGGCGACGAUCGGUAGCUGGUCUGAGAGGACGAUCAGCCACACUGGGAUUGAGAACGGCCCAGACUCCUACGGGGGGCAGCAGUGAGGAAUUUUCCGCAAUGGAGGCAACUCUGACGGAGCAACGCCGCGUGCAGGAGGAAGGUUUUCGGAUCGUAAACUGCUUUUCGUCGGGGACGAGCAAGGACGGUACCCGAGGAAGAAGCCCCGGCUAACUACGUGCCAGCAGCCGC